GACGAACGCUGGCGGCGUGCUUAACACAUGCAAGUCGAACGGAAAGGCCCUUCGGGGUACUCGAGUGGCGAACGGGUGAGUAACACGUGGGUGAUCUGCCCUGCACUUUGGGAUAAGCCUGGGAAACUGGGUCUAAUACCGAAUAUGAUCAUCGGCUUCAUGGUCGGUGGUGGAAAGCUUUUGCGGUAUGGGAUGGGCCCGCGGCCUAUCAGCUUGUUGGUGGGGUAAUGGCCUACCAAGGCGACGACGGGUAGCCGGCCUGAGAGGGUGACCGGCCACACUGGGACUGAGAUACGGCCCAGACUCCUACGGGAGGCAGCAGUGGGGAAUAUUGCACAAUGGGCGCAAGCCUGAUGCAGCGACGCCGCGUGAGGGAUGACGGCCUUCGGGUUGUAAACCUCUUUCAGCACAGACGAAGCGCAAGUGACGGUAUGUGCAGAAGAAGGACCGGCCAACUACGUG
This 462-nucleotide ribosomal RNA is filed under the name uncultured bacterium. RNAcentral describes it as "partial 16S ribosomal RNA". It matches the Rfam family "Bacterial small subunit ribosomal RNA", at positions 28 to 507 of the family's 1533-position model. The record is from RNAcentral.